UUGCCCUAACAGAAAUAGAACACAAGAGUGACAUAGCUGUCCCUCCUACUCCCCUGGCCGUCCCUCCUUCCCACGCGGCCUCCCUCCUCCCCCUGUGGCCCUGCUCUGUGUGGAGUGCUGCAGGGGUUGCUGUGAGGCCGAAGGAGACAAGGAAGGCGGCACCCCUGGGAAUGCGCACAGAAUUACAGGCUUCACGAGAGGGGCACGGCCAGCCGCGCCUUACAGACAGUGUCAGCCAGGCGCUUCCCUCCACGCGACCUCGCUGCCUCCUUGCAGGGCAGAUGCCUCCGGGUCUCAGACUGUCCUGUGUCUCCCCGUGGGUCCUGGCAUGGUAGACACUCAGCUGUUCAGGCUGGUUCCCCUCCGCCCCAUCGCCCUACAGCAGUUGACCAGGUGUGUGUCCUCGGUGAGCUGUGGACAGCCAGCCUGUAGGUGAGGGCAGCGGGACCGUAAGAGGGAACAUGUGAAUGGCGCAGAAAGCAACGCUGUGGAAGCCUGGCUCGGGCCCUGUGCAUUUCCUGCGUUUGCAGACCCUGGGUGUGCAGGUGCCAGACCAGCAGGUAGUAACCACCACGGUGAGAACAGCUCACCCAACAGGGCUUGCCGGCUGGGCCGCCCGCGCAGAAGCCCCCCAGUAACCCCUGAGCUCCCCAGCACCCCAUCAGCC
Molecule: long non-coding RNA, 667 nt
Organism: Tupaia belangeri chinensis (Chinese tree shrew)
Lineage: Eukaryota; Metazoa; Chordata; Mammalia; Scandentia; Tupaiidae
Exons: 3
Source: RefSeq, a predicted model, not a curated record